Molecule: small nuclear RNA, 371 nt
Filed under: Erinaceus europaeus (western European hedgehog)
Lineage: Eukaryota; Metazoa; Chordata; Mammalia; Eulipotyphla; Erinaceidae
Description: 7SK RNA
Rfam family: 7SK RNA
About the family: 7SK was discovered as an abundant small nuclear RNA in the mid-70s but a possible function has only recently been suggested.
Source: Rfam by way of RNAcentral
GGAUGUGAAAGUGAUCUAGCUGCGACAUCUGUCACCCCAUUGAUUGCCAGGAUUCAUUCAUUUGAUCUGGUUGGCUAGAUGGAUGUCCCCUUCCUCCCUCAUGCUCCCAUUGCAUCUUUCCCGAAGCUGUGCGCUCAGAUCGAAGAGGACAGCCUUUCUUGAACAGAGAUGGACCUGGUCUUUGGUCCAAGACAUACGAGUAGCUGCACUUGUUUGCUAGAACCUCUAAACAAGCUCUUGAGAACUGACUGUCAUACCUCUGAGAGGUAUAGUGUUGGGAUGAUUUGUGGUUCUAGGAGAUUAUAGGGAGGAAGAAAAUAAAGAUAAUUUGAAAUUCCUUAACUUCAUUUCAGUGGAAAGAUUCUGUGAGU